Molecule: small nuclear RNA, 185 nt
Filed under: Tupaia belangeri chinensis (Chinese tree shrew)
Lineage: Eukaryota; Metazoa; Chordata; Mammalia; Scandentia; Tupaiidae
Description: Tupaia chinensis (Chinese tree shrew) U4 spliceosomal RNA
Rfam family: U4 spliceosomal RNA (bases 1-125)
About the family: U4 small nuclear RNA (U4 snRNA) is a component of the major U2-dependent spliceosome. The structure of U4 snRNA from yeast and human has been reported. U4 snRNA presents a k-turn RNA motif in the 5p-SL related to recognition of Snu13 protein.
Source: Rfam by way of RNAcentral
AGCUUUGCGCAGUGGCAGUAUCGUAGCCAAUGAGGUUUAUCCGAGGCGCGAUUAUUGCUAAUUGAAAAUUAAUUUAGAUUUUUCACAGAUAAUGCUUUGUAUGUGACUCUUUAACUCAAUACAUAACUCAAUUUCAUCCAUAAAAAAGCAUAUCUUAUCAAAUUACCUGAAGUUCUUUUUGAAGA